RNAcentral lists this ribosomal RNA (301 nucleotides) under uncultured bacterium. RNAcentral's name for it is "partial 16S ribosomal RNA". It matches the Rfam family "Bacterial small subunit ribosomal RNA", at positions 509 to 807 of the family's 1533-position model. The record is from RNAcentral.
CAGUAGCCACGGUAAUACGAAGGGUGCAAGCGUUACUCGGAAUUACUGGGCGUAAAGCGUGCGUAGGUGGUGGUUUAAGUCCGCUGUGAAAGCCCUGGGCUCAACCUGGGAAUUGCAGUGGAUACUGGGUCACUAGAGUGUGGUAGAGGAUAGUGGAAUUUCCGGUGUAGCAGUGAAAUGCGUAGAGAUCGGAAGGAACAUCUGUGGCGAAGGCGACUAUCUGGGCCAACACUGACACUGAGGCACGAAAGCGUGGGGAGCAAACAGGAUUAGAUACCCCCGUAGUCCCUGUCUCUUAUAC